GAUGAACGCUGGCGGCGUGCCUAUUCCUUCCAAUCGGACGGACAAAUUAAGAACUUUGUCCUCCGACGUUAGCGGCGGGCCGGUGAGGAACCCCUUGGAAACCUACCUAUAAGAAUGGGAUAACUUCGGGAAACCGGAACUAAUUCCGGAUAAUAUAUUUAACCGCAUGGUUCAAUAGUGAAAGGCGGGUUUGGCGUCACCUAUAGAUUGAUCCGCGCCGCAUUAGCUAGUUGGUAAGGUAACGGCUUACCAAGGCAACGAUGCGUAGCCGACCUGAGAGGGUGAUCGGCCACACUGGAACUGAGACACGGUCCAGACUCCUACGGGAGGCAGCAGUAGGGAAUCUUCCGCAAUGGGCGAAAGCCUGACGGAGCAACGCCGCGUGAGUGAUGAAGGUCUUCGGAUCGUAAAACUCUGUUAUUAGGGAAGAACAAAUGUGUAAGUAACUAUGCACGUCUUGACGGUACCUAAUCAGAAAGCCACGGCUAACUACGUG
RNAcentral lists this ribosomal RNA (496 nucleotides) under uncultured bacterium. RNAcentral describes it as "partial 16S ribosomal RNA". It matches the Rfam family "Bacterial small subunit ribosomal RNA", at positions 28 to 507 of the family's 1533-position model. The record is from RNAcentral.